GGUUAAGUAAUUAAGCGUACACGGUGGAUGCCUAGGCAGUCAGAGGCGAUGAAGGACGUGCUAAUCUGCGAAAAGUGCCGGUGAGCUGAUAUGAAGCUUUUAAAGCCGGCAAUGUCCGAAUGGGGAAACCCGAUGCAAUGAGUUGCAUCAUCGUUAGGUGAAUCCAUAGCUUAACGAAGCGAACCAGGGGAAGUGAAACAUCUCAGUAUCCUGAGGAAAAGAAAUCAACCGAGAUUCUCCUAGUAGUGGCGAGCGAAAGGGGAAUAGCCCAGAGCCAUCAUCAGCUGGUGCAUCAGGAGAACGGUCUGGAAAGUCCGGUAACAUAGGGUGAUAGCCCCGUAUCCGAAGAUGCAUUGGUUGUGAGCUCGAUGAGUAGGGCGGGACACGUGAUAUCCUGUCUGAAGAUGGGGGGACCAUCCUCCAAGGCUAAAUACUACUGACUGACCGAUAGUGAACCAGUACCGUAAGGGAAAGAUGAAAAGAACCCCGGCAAGGGGAGUGAAAUAGAACCUGAAUCCGUGUACGUACAAGCAGUGGAAGCAUCUUUUAUUAUGGUGUGACUGCGUACCUUUUGUAUAAUGGGUCAGCGACUUAUAUUCUGUAGCAAGGUUAACUGUAUAGGGGAGCCGUAGGGAAACCGAGUCUUAACUGGGCGUUUAGUUGCAGGAUAUAGACCCGAAACCCGGUGAUCUAGCCAUGGGCAGGUUGAAGGUUAGGUAACACUAACUGGAGGACCGAACCGACUAAUGUUGAAAAAUUAGCGGAUGACUUGUGGCUAGGGGUGAAAGGCCAAUCAAACCGGGAGAUAGCUGGUUCUCCCCGAAAGCUAUUUAGGUAGCGCCUCAUGAAGUCAUCUACGGGGGUAGAGCACUGUUUCGGCUAGGGAUCCAUCCUGGAUUACCAACCCGAUGCAAACUGCGAAUACCGUAGAAUGUUAUCAUGGGAGACACACGGCGGGUGCUAACGUCCGUCGUGAAGAGGGAAACAACCCAGACCGCCAGCUAAGGUCCCAAAGUCAUGGUUAAGUGGGAAACGAUGUGGGAAGGCUCAGACAGCCAGGAUGUUGGCUUAGAAGCAGCCAUCAUUUAAAGAAAGCGUAAUAGCUCACUGGUCGAGUUAGCCUGCGCGGAAGAUGUAACGGGGCUAAACCAUGCACCGAAGCUGCGGCAGCGAACGAAGGAUAGUUCGUUGGGUAGGGGAGCGUUCUGUAAGCCUGCGAAGGUAACCUGUGAUGGUUGCUGGAGGUAUCAGAAGUGCGAAUGCUGACAUAAGUAACGAUAAAGCGGGUGAAAAGCCCGCUCGCCGGAAGACCAAGGGUUCCUGUUCAACGUUAAUCGGAGCAGGGUUAGUCGACCCCUAAGGCAAGGCCGAAAAGCGUAGCCGAUGGGAAACAGGUUAAUAUUCCUGUACUUGGCGUGAUUGCGAAGGGGAGACGAAGAAAGCUAGGUUCGCCAGGUGACGGUUGUCCUGGUUUAAGCGUGCAGGUGGAAGGAGCAGGAAAAUCCACUCUUUCGUAACACUGAGGCGUUAUGACGAACCACUGCGGUGGUGAAGGAAUUAAUGCUACGCUUCCGGGAAAAUCCUCUAAGCUAUCGGUCCCGUUAAAUCGUACCCAAAACCGACACAGGUGGUUAGGUAGAGAAUACCCAGGCGCUUGAGAGAACUCGGGUGAAGGAACUAGGCAAAAUGGUGCCGUAACUUCGGAAGAAGGCACGCUGGCAUGUAGGUGGCGAGCCUUGCGCUCUGAGCUGAAGCCAGUCGCAGAUACCAGCUGGCUGCAACUGUUUAUUAAAAACACAGCACUGUGCAAACACGCAAGUGGACGUAUACGGUGUGACGCCUGCCCGGUGCCGGAAGGUUAAUUGAUAGGGUUAUCCGUAGUCAGGAAAAGCUCUUGAUUGAAGCCCCGGUAAACGGCGGCCGUAACUAUAACGGUCCUAAGGUAGCGAAAUUCCUUGUCGGGUAAGUUCCGACCUGCACGAAUGGCGUAAUGAUGGCCAGACUGUCUCCACCCGAGACUCAGUGAAAUUGAAAUCGCCGUGAAGAUGCGGUGUACCCGCGGCAAGACGGAAAGACCCCGUGAACCUUUACUAUAGCUUGACACUGAACAUUGAUCCUUAAUGUAUAGGAUAGGUGGGAGGCUGUGAAAUGUGGGCGCCAGUUCACAUGAAGCCAACCUUGAAAUACCACCCUUUAAUGUUUAAUGUUCUAACUCAGACCCGUGAUCCGGGUUAAGGACAGUGUCUGGUGGGUAGUUUGACUGGGGCGGUCUCCUCCCAAAAUGUAACGGAGGAGCACAAAGGUUAGCUAAUCACGGUCGGAAAUCGUGAGGUUAGUGCAAAGACAUAAGCUAGCUUGACUGCGAGAGUGACGGCUCGAGCAGGUGCGAAAGCAGGUCUUAGUGAUCCGGUGGUUCCGCAUGGAAGGGCCAUCGCUCAACGGAUAAAAGGUACUCCGGGGAUAACAGGCUAAUACCGCCCAAGAGUUCAUAUCGACGGCGGUGUUUGGCACCUCGAUGUCGGCUCAUCACAUCCUGGGGCUGCAGUAGGUCCCAAGGGUAUGGCUGUUCGCCAUUUAAAGUGGUACGUGAGCUGGGUUUAGAACGUCGUGAGACAGUUCGGUCCCUAUCUGCCGUGGGCGCUGGAAGAUUGAGAGGGGCUGCUCCUAGUACGAGAGGACCGGAGUAGACGUACCACUGGUAUUCGGGUUGUCAUGCCAAUGGCACUGCCCGGUAGCUAUGUACGGAAGAGAUAACCGCUGAAAGCAUCUAAGCGGGAAACUUGCCUCGAGAUGAGUCUUCCCUGAGGCUUUUAGCCUCCUAAAGGGACGUUAAAGACGAUGACGUUAAUAGGUUGGGUGUGUAAGCGCUGUGAAGCGUUGAGCUAACCAAUACUAAUGACCCGUGAGACUUAACCUU
This is a ribosomal RNA of Candidatus Moranella endobia PCIT, 2917 nucleotides long. It matches the Rfam family "Bacterial large subunit ribosomal RNA". Lineage: Bacteria; Pseudomonadati; Pseudomonadota; Gammaproteobacteria; Enterobacterales; Enterobacteriaceae. The record is from Rfam.